ACGGGGGGGGCGAGCGUUGUUCGGAAUUACUGGGCGUAAGGGGUGCGUAGGCGGCUUUCUAAGUCGGAUGUGAAAACUCUGGGCUCAACCCAGAGCCUGCAUCUGAAACUGGAGAGCUAGGGUUUUGGAGGGGAAAGCGGAAUUCCAGGUGUAGCGGUGAAAUGCGUAGAUAUCUGGAGGAACACCGGUGGCGAAGGCGGCAUCCUGGACCGGCAUUGACGCUGAGGCGCGAAAGCUAGGGGAGCAAACGGGA
RNAcentral lists this ribosomal RNA (253 nucleotides) under uncultured prokaryote. RNAcentral describes it as "partial 16S ribosomal RNA". It matches the Rfam family "Bacterial small subunit ribosomal RNA", at positions 525 to 777 of the family's 1533-position model. The record is from RNAcentral.